UGGGGAAUUUUGGACAAUGGGCGAAAGCCUGAUCCAGCAAUGCCGCGUGUGUGAAGAAGGCCUUCGGGUUGUAAAGCACUUUUGUCCGGAAAGAAAUCCUUGGCUCUAAUACAGUCGGGGGAUGACGGUACCGGAAGAAUAAGCACCGGCUAACUACGUGCCAGCAGCCGCGGUAAUACGUAGGGUGCAAGCGUUAAUCGGAAUUACUGGGCGUAAAGCGUGCGCAGGCGGUUUGCUAAGACCGAUGUGAAAUCCCGGGCUCAACCUGGGAACUGCAUUGGUGACUGGCAGGCUAGAGUAUGGCAGAGGGGGGUAGAAUUCCACGUGUAGCAGUGAAAUGCGUAGAGAUGUGGAGGAAUACCGAUGGCGAAGGCAGCCCCCUGGGCCAAUACUGACGCUCAUGCACGAAAGCGUGGGGAGCAAACAGGAUUAGAUACCCUGGUAGUCCACGCCCUAAAACGAUGUCAACUAGUUGUUGGGGAUUCAUUUCCUAGUAACGCAGCUAACGCGUGAAGUUGACCGCCUGGGGAGUACGGUCGCAAGAUUAAAACUCAAAGGAAUUGACGGGGUCAUAGCUG
RNAcentral lists this ribosomal RNA (578 nucleotides) under uncultured bacterium. Its description in RNAcentral is "partial 16S ribosomal RNA". It matches the Rfam family "Bacterial small subunit ribosomal RNA", at positions 355 to 932 of the family's 1533-position model. The record is from RNAcentral.